RNAcentral lists this ribosomal RNA (301 nucleotides) under uncultured bacterium. Its description in RNAcentral is "partial 16S ribosomal RNA". It matches the Rfam family "Bacterial small subunit ribosomal RNA", at positions 509 to 807 of the family's 1533-position model. The record is from RNAcentral.
CAGCAGCCACGGUAAUACGUAGGUGGCAAGCGUUGUCCGGAAUUAUUGGGCGUAAAGGGCUCGCAGGCGGUUUCUUAAGUCUGAUGUGAAAGCCCCCGGCUCAACCGGGGAGGGUCAUUGGAAACUGGGAAACUUGAGUGCAGAAGAGGAGAGUGGAAUUCCACGUGUAGCGGUGAAAUGCGUAGAGAUGUUGAGGAACACCAGUGGCGAAGGCGACUCUCUGGUCUGUAACUGACGCUGAGGAGCGAAAGCGUGGGGAGCGAACAGGAUUAGAUACCCCCGUAGUCCCUGUCUCUUAUAC